This 74-nucleotide transfer RNA is filed under the name Alphaproteobacteria bacterium. RNAcentral's name for it is "tRNA-Cys". It matches the Rfam family "tRNA". From Rfam's summary of the family: Transfer RNA (tRNA) molecules are approximately 80 nucleotides in length. Their secondary structure includes four short double-helical elements and three loops (D, anti-codon, and T loops). Further hydrogen bonds mediate the characteristic L-shaped molecular structure. tRNAs have two regions of fundamental functional importance: the anti-codon, which is responsible for specific mRNA codon recognition, and the 3' end, to which the tRNAs corresponding amino acid is attached (by aminoacyl-tRNA synthetases). tRNAs cope with the degeneracy of the genetic code in two manners: having more than one tRNA (with a specific anti-codon) for a particular amino acid; and 'wobble' base-pairing, i.e. permitting non-standard base-pairing at the 3rd anti-codon position. Lineage: Bacteria; Pseudomonadati; Pseudomonadota; Alphaproteobacteria. The record is from RNAcentral. RNAcentral also lists the same sequence under 1 other name.
GGUCCGGUGGCAGAGUGGUCAUGCGGAGGCCUGCAAAGCCUUUUACGUCGGUUCGAUUCCGGCCCGGACCUCCA